CGGUGACAAACCGGAGGAAGGUGGGGAUGACGUCAGGUCAUCAUGGCCCUUACGGGCAGGGCUACACACGUGCUACAAUGGGGCGUACAAAGGGCUGCAAACCUGCGAAGGGGAGCUAAUUUCCCAAAACGCGUUGUAGUUCGGAUUGGAGUUUGCAACUUGACUCCGUGAAGUUGGAAUCGCUUGUAAUCGUGGAUCAGAAUGUCCCGGUGAAUACGUUCCCGGGCCUUGUACACACCGCCCGUCACACCAUGGGAGUGGGUUGCACCAGAAGUGGUUAGUCUAACCUUCGGGAGGACG
This 300-nucleotide ribosomal RNA is filed under the name Marinobacter confluentis. RNAcentral describes it as "bacterial SSU rRNA". It matches the Rfam family "Bacterial small subunit ribosomal RNA", at positions 1153 to 1452 of the family's 1533-position model. The record is from RNAcentral. Lineage: Bacteria; Pseudomonadati; Pseudomonadota; Gammaproteobacteria; Pseudomonadales; Marinobacteraceae.